This 48-nucleotide non-coding RNA is filed under the name Schistosoma mansoni. Lineage: Eukaryota; Metazoa; Platyhelminthes; Trematoda; Strigeidida; Schistosomatidae. The record is from RNAcentral.
AUCCAGCUGACGAGUCCCAAAUAGGACGAAACAUGCGUCAAACUGAAU